UUAAAUUGAAGAGUUUGAUCAUGGCUCAGAUUGAACGCUGGCGGCAGGCCUAACACAUGCAAGUCGAACGGUAACAGGAAGAAGCUUGCUUCUUUGCUGACGAGUGGCGGACGGGUGAGUAAUGUCUGGGAAACUGCCUGAUGGAGGGGGAUAACUACUGGAAACGGUAGCU
RNAcentral lists this ribosomal RNA (172 nucleotides) under Escherichia coli. RNAcentral's name for it is "partial 16S ribosomal RNA". It matches the Rfam family "Bacterial small subunit ribosomal RNA", at positions 1 to 164 of the family's 1533-position model. The record is from RNAcentral. RNAcentral also lists the same sequence under 3 other names. Lineage: Bacteria; Pseudomonadati; Pseudomonadota; Gammaproteobacteria; Enterobacterales; Enterobacteriaceae.